GACGAACGCUGGCGGCGUGCUUAACACAUGCAAGUCGAACGAAGAGCGCUUGCAGCUUUCUUCUGUCCAUCUUAGUGGCGAACGGGUGACUCACGCGUAAUCAACCCGCCCUUCAGAGGUGGACAACAGUUGGAAACGACUGCUAAUGCCGCAUACUCCCUAUUCAUGGUAUCGGGUGUAGAUGUACGGUGGCCUCUGCUUGUAUCCCAUCACUUCAGGUGGUUGUUGCGGCGGUUUAGUUAGUUGGAGGGGUCACGGAGCACCACGGCGAUGAUGAGUAGCAGGUCGGAGAGGAUGAGCAGCCACAUUGAGACGGAGACACGGCCCAGAGUGCUACGGGAGGCAGCAGUGGGGAAUCGGCCGCAAUGGACGAGAGUCUGACGGAGCAACGCCGCGUGAGUGAUGACGGCCGUCGGGUUGGAGAGCUCUGUUAAUCGGGACGAAAGGCCUUCUGGCGAAGAGGGAGAAGGAUUGACGGUACCGGAAUAGAAAGCCACGGCUAACUACGUG
Molecule: ribosomal RNA, 510 nt
Filed under: uncultured bacterium
Lineage: Bacteria
Description: partial 16S ribosomal RNA
Rfam family: Bacterial small subunit ribosomal RNA
Source: RNAcentral